Long non-coding RNA from Megalobrama amblycephala (Wuchang bream), 667 nucleotides. RefSeq lists it as uncharacterized. Lineage: Eukaryota; Metazoa; Chordata; Actinopteri; Cypriniformes; Xenocyprididae. The record is from RefSeq and is a predicted model, not a curated record. The transcript has 4 exons.
AAGAACGAUAACAAUGAGCUGAGCUCAUUGAAGGUUGUUCUGCUUUGUGCAUGUCUGAGAAACUCCUGAAUAUUCAUGUAAGUGCCGCCUUUGGAAACGGAAAAUCUCAGAAACCAAAAAUCUCGUAACACCGGUCCGCUCCCACAUUCCUCUCCACCCAUUAAACAGGUUAAUCUUGAGCUCCAAAGAGGUGCAGCUUGAGGUAAUUUUGCUCUGCAGGGAGCACUAAUUGCGUUCAGAGGCAGAUACACUGUAUUGGUAUAAAUAGGUGGAUUAUAUUGUCAGUUUUAGUGAGUUCACUCUCAAGUCUGGAACAAUGUUUACACGUGGAGUCAUCGUCCUUCUCUGUGUCCUAGUGGCCGUAUCUGAUGCAGUGAGAGAGCCUGAACCUGAGCUUAUCGUGUGCCCGAUGGACUAUUCACCCGUGUGUGGAUCUGAUGGAAUAACAUACAGCAGUACAUGCAUGCUGUUUGUUGCAAACCAGGAAUCAGGAACUGAAAUCUUUAUCGUGAAGGAUGGCAAAUGUGAUUAAGAUGUGCAGGAGUGACACAGGAAUGGCAGCAUAAUUCAGCUUGACAGACCUUUACUCAGUAUUAUUGUGUCUCAUUCAUUAUAACCUGAAUGUGUAACGGUUUAAUCCUUAAAUAAAUGCUGCAUAUUGAAGCUG